GGCUCGGUAGCUCAGUCCGUAGAGCAACGGACUGAAAAUCCGUGUGUCGGCGGUUCGAUUCCGUCCCGAGCCACCA
Molecule: transfer RNA, 76 nt
Filed under: Oceanobacillus indicireducens
Lineage: Bacteria; Bacillati; Bacillota; Bacilli; Caryophanales; Bacillaceae
Description: tRNA-Phe
Rfam family: tRNA
About the family: Transfer RNA (tRNA) molecules are approximately 80 nucleotides in length. Their secondary structure includes four short double-helical elements and three loops (D, anti-codon, and T loops).
Source: RNAcentral